GGAAGGAUCAUUAACACUAAUCCACACACAACUCAACCUAGCCUUCAGUUGCAGCAGUAGCGCUUGCCUUGUGCAGUGCCGCUGGUGCAACCACACAAACCUAAUCACGCAAAGGAGCCUAACUAAGCUCAACAACAAAACCAAAUUCUCAACGAUGGAUAUCUUGGUUCCCAUAACGAUGAAGAACGCAGCGAAGUGCGAUAAGCAAUGCGAAUUGCAGAACCGUGAGUCAUCAGAUUUUUGAACGCAACUGGCGCCGGCUGGCUCUCCAGCCGGCAUGCUUGUUUCAGUGUCUCUUUACCUCCUCACCCAGAUCAUAAUGCGAGAGAUGCCCUUCUCUUGCCAAGCCUGAAAGCACUCUGCGCUCUGCGAGCGGCCUCGACUUGUCGAGGGUCGCACUCAAUGCAGCGGUCACAUUGCUCACAAUGUGAACUCAUUGAGAGCUGAGGCAGUGCAGCGUCAGCUGCCAGUGCUUAGUCACUCAAACUUUACUUGCAUCUGAAAUCAAGCAGGACCACCCGCUGAACUUAAGCAUAUCAAUAAGCGGAGGAGAAGAAAUUAACUAAGAUUGCCCUAGUAGCGGCGAGCGAAGCGGCAAGAGCCCAAACUGGAAAUCUUGCGCACCCCGUGCGCACGAAUUGUAAUCUAAAGGAUGUCCACUCAACGGGCAGUGGCGCAGAAGUGCCUUCGAACGGGCCGCCAGAGAGGGUGCCAGCCCCGUAUGUGGUGCCACCGCCUAACGAGUGGGUGUUCAACGAGUCGGGUUGUUUUGUAUUGCAGCCCUAAGUGGGAGAUAGACUUCUUCUAAGGCUAAAUAUAUAUGGGAAACCGAUAGCGAACAAGUACUGUGAAGGAAAGAUGAAAAGAACUUUGAAAAGAGAGUCAAAAGACUUGAAAUCGUUGAGAAGGAAGCGGUAGAAAUUUAUUCUUCGGCGGAGGUCGGUGUUAGUUGCCAAACCAUUGCCGGUUGUCAGCACUGCAAAAGGCUGCGGCUGGUACUUGGGGAAGCGGCUGGCUUGACCUCCGUCGUGAGGCAAAAUGGGGUCGCGCAACCGCAGAGGCUCUCGACGACGGGGCUGGUUCGCCGGUCAGCGUCGGGUGUGCCGGCGGGGGUGCGGCCUGAGGAUGCUUAGUGCGAUUUUGCCAAAAUGGUUUUUACCGACCCGUCUUGAAACACGGACCAAGGAGUCUAACAUAUAUGCGAGUGUGCUGGUGGAGAAACCAACACGCGUAAUGAAGGUGAGCGAUGCCAAGUCGCAAGAUGGCAGCAUCGACCGACCAUGAUCCUCCGGUGAAAGGUUUGAGUACGAGCAUAUCUGUUAGGACCCGAAAGAUGGUGAACUAUGCCUGAGUAGGGUGAAGCCAGGGGAAACUCUGGUGGAGGCUCGUAGCGGUACUGACGUGCAAAUCGUUCGUCAAACUUGGGUAUAGGGGCGAAAGACUAAUCGAACCAUCUAGUAGCUGGUUCCCUC
RNAcentral lists this unclassified non-coding RNA (1472 nucleotides) under uncultured fungus. RNAcentral's name for it is "sequence contains 18S rRNA gene, ITS1, 5.8S rRNA gene, ITS2, 28S rRNA gene". The stretch from base 495 to 1472 matches the Rfam family "Eukaryotic large subunit ribosomal RNA", at positions 1 to 961 of the family's 3401-position model. Lineage: Eukaryota; Fungi. The record is from RNAcentral.